RNAcentral lists this small RNA (504 nucleotides) under uncultured Leotiomycetes. RNAcentral's name for it is "eukaryotic LSU rRNA". The stretch from base 163 to 316 matches the Rfam family "5.8S ribosomal RNA". Lineage: Eukaryota; Fungi; Ascomycota; Leotiomycetes. The record is from RNAcentral.
ACAGAGUUCAUGCCCGAAAGGGUAGACCUCCCACCCUUGUGUAUUUAUACUUUGUUGCUUUGGCGGGCCGCCGCAAGGCUACCGGCUUCGGCUGGUGCGUGCCCGCCAGAGGACCUUCAAACUCUGAAUAUUAGUGUCGUCUGAGUACUAUAUAAUAGUUAAAACUUUCAACAACGGAUCUCUUGGUUCUGGCAUCGAUGAAGAACGCAGCGAAAUGCGAUAAGUAAUGUGAAUUGCAGAAUUCAGUGAAUCAUCGAAUCUUUGAACGCACAUUGCGCCCCUUGGUAUUCCGGGGGGCAUGCCUGUUCGAGCGUCAUUUCAACCCUCAAGCUCUGCUUGGUAUUGGGCCCUGCCGGCAACGGCAGGCCUUAAAAACAGUGGCGGUGCCUUUAGGUCCUGAGCGUAGUACAUUUCUCGCUAUAGGUUCCUGAGGGUUACUAGCCAGCAACCCCAAUUUUUCUAUGGUUGACCUCGGAUCAGGUAGGGAUACCCGCUGAACUUAAG